RNAcentral lists this ribosomal RNA (253 nucleotides) under uncultured bacterium. RNAcentral's name for it is "partial 16S ribosomal RNA". It matches the Rfam family "Bacterial small subunit ribosomal RNA", at positions 524 to 776 of the family's 1533-position model. The record is from RNAcentral.
UACGUAGGCAGCAAGCGUUGUUCGGAAUUAUUGGGCGUAAAGAGCGAGCAGGCGGUUUGGAAAGUUGGACGUGAAAUUUUAGGGCUUAACCCUAAAGGGUCGUCCAAAACUCCCAGACUAGAGUGCAGGAGAGGAAAGCGGAAUUCCCGGUGUAGUGGUGAAAUGCGUAGAUAUCGGGAGGAACACCAGAGGCGAAGGCGGCUUUCUGGCCUGUAACUGACGCUGAGGCGCGAAGGCUGGGGUAGCGAACAGG